GGGGAGCAAACAGGAUUAGAUACCCUGGUAGUCCACGCUGUAAACGAUGUCGAUUUGAAGGUUGUUCCCUUGAGGAGUGGCUUUCGGAGCUAACGCGUUAAAUCGACCGCCUGGGGAGUACGGCCGCAAGGUUAAAACUCAAAUGAAUUGACGGGGGCCCGCACAAGCGGUGGAGCAUGUGGUUUAAUUCGGUGCAACGCGAAGAACCUUACCUACUCUUGACAUCCAGAGAACUUAGCAGAGAUGCUUUGGUGCCUUCGGGAACUCUGAGACAGGUGCUGCAUGGCUGUCGUCAGCUCGUGUUGUGAAAUGUUGGGUUAAGUCCCGCAACGAGCGCAACCCUUAUCCUUUGUUGCCAGCGAUUCGGUCGGGAGCUCAAAGGAGACUGCCGGUGAUAAACCGGAGGAAGGUGGGGAUGACGUCAAGUCAUCAUGGCCCUUACGAGUAGGGCUACACACGUGCUACAAUGGCGUAUACAAAGAGAAGCGACCUCGCGAGAGCAAGCGGAACUCAUAAAGUACGUCGUAGUCCGGAUUGGAGUCUGCAACUCGACUCCAUGAAGUCGGAAUCGCUAGUAAUCGUAGAUCAGAAUGCUACGGUGAAUACGUUCCCGGGCCUUGUACACACCGCCCGUCACACCAUGGGAGUGGGUUGCAAAAGAAGUAGGUAGCUUAACCUUCGGGAGGGCGCUUACCACUUUGUGAUUCAUGACUGGGGUGAAGUCGUAA
Molecule: ribosomal RNA, 728 nt
Filed under: uncultured bacterium
Lineage: Bacteria
Description: bacterial SSU rRNA
Rfam family: Bacterial small subunit ribosomal RNA
Source: RNAcentral